RNAcentral lists this ribosomal RNA (491 nucleotides) under uncultured archaeon. RNAcentral describes it as "bacterial SSU rRNA". It matches the Rfam family "Archaeal small subunit ribosomal RNA", at positions 325 to 820 of the family's 1478-position model. The record is from RNAcentral.
ACGGGCCGCAGCAGGCGCGAAAACUUUACAAUGCGGGCAACCGUGAUAAGGGAACCUCGAGUGCCUGUAAAUGCAGGCUGUUCAGGUGCCUAAAACACACCUGAAGAAAGGGCCGGGCAAGACCGGUGCCAGCCGCCGCGGUAAUACCGGCGGCUCGAGUGGUGGCCGCUUUUAUUGGGCUUAAAGCGUUCGUAGCUGGGUUGUUAAGUCUCUUGGGAAAUCUGGCGGCUUAACCGUCAGGCGUCUAAGGGAUACUGGCAAUCUUGGAACCGGGAGAGGUGAGGGGUACUUCGGGGGUAGGAGUGAAAUCCUGUAAUCCUCGAGGGACCACCUGUGGCGAAGGCGCCUCACCAGAACGGCUUCGACAGUGAGGGACGAAAGCUGGGGGAGCAAACCGGAUUAGAUACCCGGGUAGUCCCAGCCGUAAACUAUGCGCGUUAGGUGUAUCGGUGACCACGAGUUACCGAGGUGCCGAAGGGAAACCGUGAAAC